UGGAGGUGGGAUGCUGCAACCUAGGGAAAAAGACAGCUCCGCAGGGCGACAGAGGGAACGUUGUCCUCGAGCAAAAGAGAAACGGGGUGGUGCGCGGGGCGAGCGGAAACGGCGCCUCAAGCGGAGGAGAGGAGCCUUGACACGCACCGACGCGCUUUCCUCUGCGGGGCUGUUUGUGUUCGUGACGCGAGCGUCAGUGAGCGCGGCAGCAGCAGCAGGGAGAGAGAGAGAGAAUCCGACUGUAGGCGAUCAAUAGAGGGCCCAGUGUCCGGGACAUGUGCGCCAAAAGCGACAGUGGUGGGUUCUUCGGAGGGGCCCCCCUUCCACCAUCGUGCUCCUAGGGAGAACCCGGUGCCCACUUCCCCAGGCGGGUGGUGCAACAACGAUCCGGGCCGCGGGAGAACGUGUGGCGAGGGUGCGCCUUGCAGGCGGCGCUGAGGGCGAGGGGUGUUGUUGCCAAACCGUGCGGCGACCGACCCCGGACUGCAGCAGUUGGGCGUCCCCUAUGCUGGUGCGCUGCUCGCUGUGGACGUUGCUGCUGCCUUUCCCUGCCACCGCACCGCUCGGAUUAUUACCGCCGUUUGUCGGGAUACUUGCCUUCUGAAAAGGUUUGUGACGAACGUGUGCUGGAGUCUGACGAUCCUGGCCCGGUGUGGCGGUAACAGCCACGUCCGCGCGGCGCCCAAGCGUUCCCAUGUGGAUUACGCCAAGUGCAGAAGAGAACAACGUUGCUUCACGGCGGAUACUGUGUGUGGGUGCCAGUGCGCGCGUGUUUUGUGCCGUCGCGUUCUGUGUCAAGCUGGCUCCAUGAGCGAGCGUGACCUGCCUGAUGCGGCGGCGCCUGUGACCGCCCCGUCGUGUUGUGCUUCGCGAGACAAGUGCCCCCACUCAAGGAGAGAAUGAAGUGCGUUGCGUGAUCAGUGGUGCACCUUUGCAAUCUUCACACCUUUUGGAUGUAUUGCGCUGGUCUCGCGUCCUCUGGCGUGAGGUCCACUGUAAAUAGGUGCUCUGGCUUCGACGCCAUCUGCUGGCCUGCCAUCCGGACGAGCGGAUGUCCUCGGACCGCCCUCCGCGACCACUUCCACAGCGCGGCCUCGCACGCAGGGAGACCUCCCUCCUUCUGCGACUGAGGAUUGGCUACUGUUGGACGGGUGCUCGCCGCCACCGGCACGGCAUCAUCGCCUCUCCAGCCUGCGCCUCCUGUGGGGAGCCCGAGACCCUGGAGCACCUCCUGCUGACCUGCAGCAGCGUGGCCGCCUCCUGCAGGAGUUCCGACGCCUAGGGUUUCCUUCUGCACGGCAGGAAGACAACCUUUUCCCUGGUCGCAACGAGCUACCAGCCCUCCUAAGUGUCCUCGGGUACCUCGACUCGUCGGGGCUCUCGGCGAGACUCUAGGAUUUUCUGCAAAGACGGAUAGACUUACGGCUAUCCAGACCACUCUAGGCUACUCGACCUACCCCAACCAUCUGGCUCCUGCUGGAUCACCACCCCCUGGCCUUUCACCAGAUUACCAUUCCUACCGGACCCACUGAGCCCUUCCUGUCGGACUGCUCAGCCGAUGCCAUGGCGACACUUUAACCUCCUACUCUCCUAUCUCCUUUGCUCCCACUAUCCCCCCACCCUUGUUGACGCUGAGCUGUGCUCCCGCAAGGGCUGCAGAAAAUAGCGUCAACCUUUCCUUAUCCCUUCAAGAACCACUUCUCUCUCACUGAACACACCGAGGUGAGUGGGUUUCUUGCAGACAGGAGUCUUGACCCGAGCAGGCGCCUCUUGAUCCAAGAACUGACCCCGUAGUCAGUGGCCUCCGCGUCUGUCCAUUGACCGAAGACUUCUGGCGCCCGUGAGACCACAGCUGCAAAAUAUCUCUUUCCAGGAAUUCCCCCGCACCAAAUAACCCGUGGCGGCCACGGUGAAUCCGCUAACAAUACUUGGUCCGCCGACCGCGUUUAGUCAUAGCGGCGCCAAGGAGGUGUUGAUGCGGCACAUCGUCGAUCCCUACAAAAUGAGUCGCCGCAGCAGGUGGGGAAGGGUUCCAAGGUCGCUUCUGGGAAGCUCGCCACCCUCGCAGCUGCGGCUGGAUGGGAAUAUUUUGUAGGUCGGUACCCUUAGGCCGUUCGUAACACUAGGUACUACAGAAGAGGAGUUUCUUUGCUCGUUUUGUAUAUGCGUUUGUCCCUAAGCGUGUCGGCAUUGCGGUGUGAGGUCGUGUGCCUGUGUGCUGGUGUCGUGUAUCGUGCACAAGUCUUCCUCGUGCGUCUCCAUGGAUGUUGCUGGCGUAGUGCAAUGACGUGGACGAUUUCGCGCACUGGCCACGCCCAUGUGUGAGUUCGUUUACGCUCCGACGCUGGCUGCUGGCGCGGUGAACCAGGUGAAGCAGUGGGCACUGACGCCGCAUGUCGUGAUAGCUGUGUGUAAAGGUACGUCGUACGUACGCGAAUUCCAGAAGCUAAACGUA
Non-coding RNA from Dermacentor albipictus, 2455 nucleotides. The record is from RefSeq and is a predicted model, not a curated record. NCBI's taxonomy places the organism in Eukaryota, Metazoa, Arthropoda, Arachnida, Ixodida, Ixodidae.